This 310-nucleotide ribosomal RNA is filed under the name uncultured bacterium. Its description in RNAcentral is "bacterial SSU rRNA". It matches the Rfam family "Bacterial small subunit ribosomal RNA", at positions 138 to 445 of the family's 1533-position model. The record is from RNAcentral.
GGGGCAUAGCUCGAGGAAACUCGAAUUAAUUCCCCAUAGUACAUUAUAAUAUCUCAUGAUAUAAAUGUUAAAGAUUUAUCGGUUAAAGAUGGGCAUGCGUCUGAUUAGUUUGUUGGUAAGGUAACGGCUUACCAAGACUACGAUCAGUAGGGGGUCUGAGAGGAUGAUCCCCCACACUGGUACUGAGACACGGACCAGACAUCUACGGAUGGCAGCAGUAAGGAAUAUUGGGCAAUGGGCGCAAGCCUGACCCAGCCAUGCCGCGUGCAGGAUGACGACCCUAUGGGUUGUAAACUGCUUUUAUAUAGGA